CGCCGCCCAGGUGCUUGAAAUCCCGGGGCCUUGCCCCCACAAUGCGGACAUGGUUGUAAUUCCGGCGAACUGGAGGCGUUCUGGACAGGGGUUCGAUUCCCCUCACCUCCACCCAAGCGUAUUCGGGAGUGCGUUUCGGUGGGGGUGUACCGGUUUCGACAGGGCGGGCAAAGGUAAGCAGGCAACCCGAGAGGCGACGGACGUAAUCCGCGCAAAUCCUUAAACGCCAACGAUGAGCGUUUCGCAAUCGCUGCAUAAGCUGAUUGCCGGGGCCGCUGAAGCCUUGUAACCCAAGACAGCCGGUGGGGACUUCGGUCCCCAUCGUCA
This 327-nucleotide transfer-messenger RNA is filed under the name Thauera phenolivorans. It matches the Rfam family "Betaproteobacteria transfer-messenger RNA". Rfam says of the family: Bacterial tmRNA, also known as 10Sa RNA or SsrA, is named for its dual tRNA and mRNA-like properties. Its role is to liberate the mRNA from a stalled ribosome. To accomplish this part of the tmRNA is used as a reading frame that ends in a translation stop signal. Lineage: Bacteria; Pseudomonadati; Pseudomonadota; Betaproteobacteria; Rhodocyclales; Zoogloeaceae. The record is from RNAcentral.